This 1956-nucleotide ribosomal RNA is filed under the name Escherichia coli. RNAcentral's name for it is "partial 23S ribosomal RNA". It matches the Rfam family "Bacterial large subunit ribosomal RNA", at positions 227 to 2207 of the family's 2925-position model. The record is from RNAcentral. Lineage: Bacteria; Pseudomonadati; Pseudomonadota; Gammaproteobacteria; Enterobacterales; Enterobacteriaceae.
AACCGAGAUUCCCCCAGUAGCGGCGAGCGAACGGGGAGCAGCCCAGAGCCUGAAUCAGUGUGUGUGUUAGUGGAAGCGUCUGGAAAGGCGUGCGAUACAGGGUGACAGCCCCGUACACAAAAAUGCACAUAUUGUGAGCUCGAUGAGUAGGGCGGGACACGUGGUAUCCUGUCUGAAUAUGGGGGGACCAUCCUCCAAGGCUAAAUACUCCUGACUGACCGAUAGUGAACCAGUACCGUGAGGGAAAGGCGAAAAGAACCCCGGCGAGGGGAGUGAAAAAGAACCUGAAACCGUGUACGUACAAGCAGUGGGAGCACGCUUAGGCGUGUGACUGCGUACCUUUUGUAUAAUGGGUCAGCGACUUAUAUUCUGUAGCAAGGUUAACCGAAUAGGGGAGCCGAAGGGAAACCGAGUCUUAACUGGGCGUUAAGUUGCAGGGUAUAGACCCGAAACCCGGUGAUCUAGCCAUGGGCAGGUUGAAGGUUGGGUAACACUAACUGGAGGACCGAACCGACUAAUGUUGAAAAAUUAGCGGAUGACUUGUGGCUGGGGGUGAAAGGCCAAUCAAACCGGGAGAUAGCUGGUUCUCCCCGAAAGCUAUUUAGGUAGCGCCUCGUGAAUUCAUCUCCGGGGGUAGAGCACUGUUUCGGCAAGGGGGUCAUCCCGACUUACCAACCCGAUGCAAACUGCGAAUACCGGAGAAUGUUAUCACGGGAGACACACGGCGGGUGCUAACGUCCGUCGUGAAGAGGGAAACAACCCAGACCGCCAGCUAAGGUCCCAAAGUCAUGGUUAAGUGGGAAACGAUGUGGGAAGGCCCAGACAGCCAGGAUGUUGGCUUAGAAGCAGCCAUCAUUUAAAGAAAGCGUAAUAGCUCACUGGUCGAGUCGGCCUGCGCGGAAGAUGUAACGGGGCUAAACCAUGCACCGAAGCUGCGGCAGCGACGCUUAUGCGUUGUUGGGUAGGGGAGCGUUCUGUAAGCCUGUGAAGGUGUGCUGUGAGGCAUGCUGGAGGUAUCAGAAGUGCGAAUGCUGACAUAAGUAACGAUAAAGCGGGUGAAAAGCCCGCUCGCCGGAAGACCAAGGGUUCCUGUCCAACGUUAAUCGGGGCAGGGUGAGUCGACCCCUAAGGCGAGGCCGAAAGGCGUAGUCGAUGGGAAACAGGUUAAUAUUCCUGUACUUGGUGUUACUGCGAAGGGGGGACGGAGAAGGCUAUGUUGGCCGGGCGACGGUUGUCCCGGUUUAAGCGUGUAGGCUGGUUUUCCAGGCAAAUCCGGAAAAUCAAGGCUGAGGCGUGAUGACGAGGCACUACGGUGCUGAAGCAACAAAUGCCCUGCUUCCAGGAAAAGCCUCUAAGCAUCAGGUAACAUCAAAUCGUACCCCAAACCGACACAGGUGGUCAGGUAGAGAAUACCAAGGCGCUUGAGAGAACUCGGGUGAAGGAACUAGGCAAAAUGGUGCCGUAACUUCGGGAGAAGGCACGCUGAUAUGUAGGUGAAGUCCCUUGCGGAUGGAGCUGAAAUCAGUCGAAGAUACCAGCUGGCUGCAACUGUUUAUUAAAAACACAGCACUGUGCAAACACGAAAGUGGACGUAUACGGUGUGACGCCUGCCCGGUGCCGGAAGGUUAAUUGAUGGGGUCAGCGCAAGCGAAGCUCUUGAUCGAAGCCCCGGUAAACGGCGGCCGUAACUAUAACGGUCCUAAGGUAGCGAAAUUCCUUGUCGGGUAAGUUCCGACCUGCACGAAUGGCGUAAUGAUGGCCAGGCUGUCUCCACCCGAGACUCAGUGAAAUUGAACUCGCUGUGAAGAUGCAGUGUACCCGCGGCAAGACGGAAAGACCCCGUGAACCUUUACUAUAGCUUGACACUGAACAUUGAGCCUUGAUGUGUAGGAUAGGUGGGAGGCUUUGAAGUGUGGACGCCAGUCUGCAUGGAGCCGACCUUGAAAUACCACCCUU